Molecule: long non-coding RNA, 453 nt
Filed under: Mytilus galloprovincialis (Mediterranean mussel)
Lineage: Eukaryota; Metazoa; Mollusca; Bivalvia; Mytilida; Mytilidae
Source: RNAcentral
CGGGGUAACAAACUAAAACUGAGGAAAACGUAUUAAAUAUAAGAGGAGAACAACGACACAACACUACAAUGUGACACACACAGAAACGGACCAAGCAUCAGAAAAAAUCCCCCGAGAAUAACAAAUAUAACAUCAAAACCAAAUACGUGAAUUUGGGAUAGACAAGUACCGUGACACGUCUUAUCGCAAUGUGAAUUUACACUCAAAAAUAAGAGAAAACAAACGACGCAACGUUAAAAUGUACACACACAGAAACGAACUAUAAUAUAACAAUGGCCAUAUUCCUGACUUGGUACAGGACAUUUUUAACAGGAAAAAAUGGUGGGUUGAACCUGGUUUUGUGGCAUGCCAAACCUCCGUUUCAUAGCCAUGUGAAAUAUAACAUUAAAAUGACAACUCAACACCACAGGACUACAAUAUAAAUAAAUUGGAGAACACAAUCGACAAAGAAAC